AGCUAUGGCCAUGCCACCCUGAACAAGACAGAUCCUGUCUGAUCUUGGAAGCUAAGAAGGGUCAGAGCUGGUUAGUAUUUGGAUGGGAGAACACCUAGGAAGACCAGGUGCUGUAGGCA
This 119-nucleotide ribosomal RNA is filed under the name Pteropus alecto (black flying fox). The record is from RNAcentral. Lineage: Eukaryota; Metazoa; Chordata; Mammalia; Chiroptera; Pteropodidae. RNAcentral also lists the same sequence under 1 other name.